AAAUUAAGGGAUAGGUAGGUCGCGGGGUCUGGGGAAGGUGUAUCGCAGUCCAGCGGUGUUCUCUGGAGCUCUGCUUGGCCCACCUCCACCGUCCAGGGUCCAGGAACGGAGUGAGCACUGGCCCAUCCAGAUCUCCGGUCUCCAGGCGCCUCCCUUGGCCCCGACUUGUAGGCGUGACAGUUGCUGAAGUCUCAAUGGGGGUUGGAACUUCCAGAUCAAAGCUGGAAUGGCUACCCACUACAGUGGUUAGACGUGAAAGAGCAGAUAAAGAAGACAGAACACGUCCUGUAAGAGGAACAGGUAUUAUCUGGAUUGCUGAGGCUGGCCCCAUGUGUGACCGAAGUGUCUGAGAGAAGAUAACCAAGGAAAAGCGGGCAAGCAUACACACGAAAAGGACACUUCCUUUAUUCGCCAUGACUUUCUCCUUCUUUUCUCUAAAGUGAUCAGGUAGUCUCUAAUUCAUCUUAGUGUAUCACCGACAAACCUUUCUCUACUAGGACGGGAAGUUUUGGCUAAGUAGCAACAGGCCUUUGAGUCUGAUGUGGAAUUUACAUUUCCAAGUGAGAAGAGCCUGCUGGACAUGAAGAUGAGGAGUGGCCAACACAGCAAGCCUCAAACAAACCCAGCACAGGAGGGUGUGCAUUGUGCUUCAACAGAGGGGGCAUUGGUGGAGUCACAGGGGAACCACGGGAAUUGUGUGUUUCUAUCACACAGAGCAAAGGCAGCUGUCACUGCUUUAGCAAAGGAAAGCUUUGAAGAGGAGGGAGGACUGUCUGAGCCAUUUGAGAGAAACAGAGAGAACCAGUUUGAACUGGAUCCUCUGGCUCGUCUCUAGAGCAGAGUCCAGAUUGGGAAGGAUUCAUGAUUAACUAUCUGAUAAGAUUAGAUGAGUGCGAGCUUCCACUCUCAGACCUGCACUUAGCUGACGGAAGGAAGAAACAGCUGUACAUGUGAGCACGAGUGACAAAGUGACAAGGUGCUGCUGGUUCAACGCCGGGUGGAUCAUUCCUCUGAUUUCCCAGUUUAACCCGUCCCUCUACACCUCGUGCUACAGCAGACAGCGCCGUCUUUCCAAAGAGUCAAGUUCAUGUUGCACUUUCCCCUUUCCGAGCAUCAGCUCCCCUCCUCAUGCAAAGAUAUAAUUCUUUAUGAACUGGAAACCUGCCCAUUGAGCAUUACCCUUGUAGACCCAUUUGAUGUAGUGCUUCCAUGAACUGAUGCUUAAUAAAUAUUUGAUAGAGUG
Long non-coding RNA from Peromyscus eremicus (cactus mouse), 1243 nucleotides. RefSeq lists it as uncharacterized. The transcript is spliced from 3 exons. Lineage: Eukaryota; Metazoa; Chordata; Mammalia; Rodentia; Cricetidae. The record is from RefSeq and is a predicted model, not a curated record.